GGAGACAGCCAGUAUGACGGUCAGGUUGACGACCUUACCUAACGAGCUGAGAGGAGGUGCAUGGCCGUCGCCAGUUCGUGCCGUGAGGUAUCCUGUUAAGUCAGGCAACGAACGAGAUCCGCACCUUUAUUUGCCAACAAGAAGUCACGACUUCGUUGGGAACACUAAAGGGACCGCCGUCGAUAAGACGGAGGAAGGAGCGGGCAAAGGCAGGUCAGUAUGCCCCGAAACCCCUGGGCUACACGCGGGCUGCAAUGGUAUGAACAAUGGGCUGUGACUCCGAAAGGAGAAACCAAUCCCGAAAUCAUAUCUCAGUUGGAAUUGUCGGCUGUAACCCGCCGACAUGAACGCGGAAUCCCUAGUAAUCGUGUGUCAUCAACGCACGGUGAAUACGUCUCUGCUCCUUGCACACACCGCCCGU
This 421-nucleotide ribosomal RNA is filed under the name uncultured archaeon. Its description in RNAcentral is "bacterial SSU rRNA". It matches the Rfam family "Archaeal small subunit ribosomal RNA", at positions 935 to 1353 of the family's 1478-position model. The record is from RNAcentral.